AACGCACCUUGCGCUCCUUGGUAUUCCGAGGAGCAUGCCUGUUUGAGUGUCAUUAAUAUAUCAACCUCUUCAAGUUUUUACUUGUUGAGUGUUUGGAUUUGGGGGUCUCUUUUGCUGGUCUCUAUUGAGGUCGGCUCCCCUGAAAUGCAUUAGCGGAACAAUUUGUUGACCCGUUCAUUGGUGUGAUAACUAUCUACGCUAUUGACGUGAAGCAGGUUCAGCUUCUAACAGUCCAUUGACUUGGACAAAUUUUCAUUAAUGUGACCUCAAAUCAGGUAGGACUACCCGCUGAACUUAA
This 298-nucleotide unclassified non-coding RNA is filed under the name uncultured Cortinarius. RNAcentral describes it as "sequence contains ITS2". The stretch from base 1 to 52 matches the Rfam family "5.8S ribosomal RNA", at positions 103 to 154 of the family's 154-position model. Lineage: Eukaryota; Fungi; Basidiomycota; Agaricomycetes; Agaricales; Cortinariaceae. The record is from RNAcentral.